RNAcentral lists this ribosomal RNA (353 nucleotides) under Pseudomonocelis ophiocephala. RNAcentral's name for it is "eukaryotic LSU rRNA". It matches the Rfam family "Eukaryotic large subunit ribosomal RNA", at positions 31 to 373 of the family's 3401-position model. The record is from RNAcentral. Lineage: Eukaryota; Metazoa; Platyhelminthes; Proseriata; Monocelididae.
GAAUUUAGCAAAUCAAUAAGCGGAGGAAAAGAAACUAACAAGGAUUCCCCUUAGUAACGGCGAGUGAAACUGGGAUUAGCCCAGCACCGAAUCCCGCAGCCUUGCGCUGUUGGGAACUGUGGUGUUUAGGACUUCUUAUGAGCUUGGUGUUUCACCUAAAGUUCACUUGAUUGUGACUCUAGGCCCAGAGAGGGUGUAAGGCCCGUCUGGGUGAGAUGCCUUGUUUCUGAGUCGUCCUUAGAGUCGGAUUGUUUGAGAUUGCAAUCCAAAGUGGGUGGUAAACUCCAUCUAAGGCUAAAUACUGAACACUAGUCCGAUAGUCAACAAGUACCGUGAGGGAAAAUUGAAAACCN